RNAcentral lists this ribosomal RNA (428 nucleotides) under uncultured bacterium. RNAcentral describes it as "partial 16S ribosomal RNA". It matches the Rfam family "Bacterial small subunit ribosomal RNA", at positions 354 to 796 of the family's 1533-position model. The record is from RNAcentral.
GUGGGGAAUAUUGGGCAAUGGGGGCAACCCUGACCCAGCAACGCCGCGUGAGGGAAGAAGGUUUUCGGAUUGUAAACCUCUGUCCUAUGGGAAGAAGGAAGUGACGGUACCAUAGGAGGAAGCCCCGGCUAACUACGUGCCAGCAGCCGCGGUAAUACGUAGGGGGCGAGCGUUGUCCGGAAUUACUGGGCGUAAAGGGUGCGCAGGUGGCCUGACAAGUCAGAUGUGAAAUACCGAUGCUUAACGUAGGGGCUGCAUUUGAAACUAUGAGGCUGGAGUGCAGGAGAGGGAAGCGGAAUUCCUAGUGUAGCGGUGAAAUGCAUAGAUAUCAGGAAGAACACCGGUGGCGAAGGCGGCCACCUGGACCGGUAUUGACGCUGAGGUGCGAAAGCGUGGGGAGCAAACAGGAUUAGAUACCCUUGUAGUCC